Lolium perenne is the source of this 573-nucleotide non-coding RNA. Lineage: Eukaryota; Viridiplantae; Streptophyta; Magnoliopsida; Poales; Poaceae. The record is from RefSeq and is a predicted model, not a curated record.
ACAUCUUUUACCUCACAUUUGUUCUUUCUUCUUUUCUGCAGAUAGUUAAUCAUCAUCCAAAUGAGGUAAUGUCAUAUGGUGGCAAAAAACCCAAGACCGAUAUUCAACGCUAUAUCAAGGUAGCAGACCAUUGAUGGAAAAGCUCCGCAAAUGAACAAUCUCAUAUGGAGCUGUGGCAGCCCAUAACAACCAGCCACCAUCAUGCCAAGUCAUGCUUGAUAAUCUAACGAAACCAAGCAGCUCACCGCAUAGCUUAAGGCGGAGCUUGGUGUACCGCUGCUAUGCUGCAUGUCAUGUAAGUCAACGUCAAACCAUGGCGAUGGACUGAAUGUGUACCGGUGCUGCUUGCCUGCUGCUUCGUGCCAUGUACUAUGGCGAUCAAGCGGAUGUACUGCUGCUGCUCCUGCGUCCGAUGCAUCUGUAGUGGAUGUAUUGAUCCCAAUUAGGCGGACACAAUACAACAUUGAUCAGCUCUUGACUGAAAACUGCACCUCAAGCUGGUCAGCUAUUGAACGGCUAGCUACAAAUCAAAAGAUAUCAAGAUGGCAAACUAUACAUUGAACGGAUCAAUCU